Molecule: ribosomal RNA, 1494 nt
Filed under: Limosilactobacillus reuteri
Lineage: Bacteria; Bacillati; Bacillota; Bacilli; Lactobacillales; Lactobacillaceae
Description: Lactobacillus reuteri partial 16S ribosomal RNA
Rfam family: Bacterial small subunit ribosomal RNA
Source: RNAcentral
GAACGCCGGCGGUGUGCCUAAUACAUGCAAGUCGUACGCACUGGCCCAACUGAUUGAUGGUGCUUGCACCUGAUUGACGAUGGAUCACCAGUGAGUGGCGGACGGGUGAGUAACACGUAGGUAACCUGCCCCGGAGCGGGGGAUAACAUUUGGAAACAGAUGCUAAUACCGCAUAACAGCAAAAGCCACAUGGCUUUUGCUUGAAAGAUGGCUUUGGCUAUCACUCUGGGAUGGACCUGCGGUGCAUUAGCUAGUUGGUAAGGUAACGGCUUACCAAGGCGAUGAUGCAUAGCCGAGUUGAGAGACUGAUCGGCCACAAUGGAACUGAGACACGGUCCAUACUCCUACGGGAGGCAGCAGUAGGGAAUCUUCCACAAUGGGCGCAAGCCUGAUGGAGCAACACCGCGUGAGUGAAGAAGGGUUUCGGCUCGUAAAGCUCUGUUGUUGGAGAAGAACGUGCGUGAGAGUAACUGUUCACGCAGUGACGGUAUCCAACCAGAAAGUCACGGCUAACUACGUGCCAGCAGCCGCGGUAAUACGUAGGUGGCAAGCGUUAUYCGGAUUUAUUGGGCGUAAAGCGAGCGCAGGCGGUUGCUUAGGUCUGAUGUGAAAGCCUUCGGCUUAACCGAAGAAGUGCAUCGGAAACCGGGCGACUUGAGUGCAGAAGAGGACAGUGGAACUCCAUGUGUAGCGGUGGAAUGCGUAGAUAUAUGGAAGAACACCAGUGGCGAAGGCGGCUGUCUGGUCUGCAACUGACGCUGAGGCUCGAAAGCAUGGGUAGCGAACAGGAUUAGAUACCCUGGUAGUCCAUGCCGUAAACGAUGAGUGCUAGGUGUUGGAGGGUUUCCGCCCUUCAGUGCCGGAGCUAACGCAUUAAGCACUCCGCCUGGGGAGUACGACCGCAAGGUUGAAACUCAAAGGAAUUGACGGGGGCCCGCACAAGCGGUGGAGCAUGUGGUUUAAUUCGAAGCUACGCGAAGAACCUUACCAGGUCUUGACAUCUUGCGCUAACCUUAGAGAUAAGGCGUUCCCUUCGGGGACGCAAUGACAGGUGGUGCAUGGUCGUCGUCAGCUCGUGUCGUGAGAUGUUGGGUUAAGUCCCGCAACGAGCGCAACCCUUGUUACUAGUUGCCAGCAUUAAGUUGGGCACUCUAGUGAGACUGCCGGUGACAAACCGGAGGAAGGUGGGGACGACGUCAGAUCAUCAUGCCCCUUAUGACCUGGGCUACACACGUGCUACAAUGGACGGUACAACGAGUCGCAAGCUCGCGAGAGUAAGCUAAUCUCUUAAAGCCGUUCUCAGUUCGGACUGUAGGCUGCAACUCGCCUACACGAAGUCGGAAUCGCUAGUAAUCGCGGAUCAGCAUGCCGCGGUGAAUACGUUCCCGGGCCUUGUACACACCGCCCGUCACACCAUGGGAGUUUGUAACGCCCAAAGUCGGUGGCCUAACCUUUAUGGAGGGAGCCGCCUAAGGCGGGACAGAUGACUGGGGU